This 726-nucleotide ribosomal RNA is filed under the name uncultured Acidobacteriota bacterium. RNAcentral's name for it is "bacterial SSU rRNA". It matches the Rfam family "Bacterial small subunit ribosomal RNA", at positions 61 to 789 of the family's 1533-position model. The record is from RNAcentral. Lineage: Bacteria; Pseudomonadati; Acidobacteriota.
GUCGAGUGCGCGCCUGUAGCAAUACAGGUGGCGCACGGCGCACGGGUGCGUAACACGUGGGUAAUCUGCCCUUCGAUGGGGAAUAACCCCGGGAAACCGGGGCUAAUUCCGCAUAACAUUCCGAGAACUCCGGUUUUUGGACUCAAAGGCGUAAGUCGUCGGAGGAGGAGCCCGCGCACGAUUAGCUAGUUGGUGAGGUAAUGGCUCACCAAGGCUAUGAUCGUUAGCUGGUCUGAGAGGAUGGCCAGCCACACUGGAACUGAGACACGGUCCAGACUCCUACGGGAGGCAGCAGUGGGGAAUCUUGCACAAUGGGCGAAAGCCUGAUGCAGCGACGCCGCGUGGGGGAUGAAGCUUCUCGGAGUGUAAACCCCUUUCGACCCGGACGAAUACCUCGCAAGAGGGGUGACGGUACGGGUAUAAGAAGCCCCGGCUAACUACGUGCCAGCAGCCGCGGUAAGACGUAGGGGGCCAGCGUUGUUCGGAAUUACUGGGUGUAAAGGGUUCGUAGGCGGUGUGGCAAGUCGGGAGUGAAAUCUCUGGGCUCAACUCAGAGGCUGCUUCCGAAACUGCUGUGCUUGAGUGUGGGAGAGGCGCGUGGAAUUGCAGGUGUAGCGGUGAAAUGCGUAGAUAUCUGCAGGAACACCCGUGGCGAAAGCGGCGCGCUGGACCACUACUGACGCUGAGGAACGAAAGCUAGGGGAGCAAACAGGAUUAGAUACCCUG